Molecule: long non-coding RNA, 869 nt
Organism: Lates calcarifer (barramundi perch)
Lineage: Eukaryota; Metazoa; Chordata; Actinopteri; Centropomidae
Exons: 3
Source: RefSeq, a predicted model, not a curated record
UCACACUACAGAUCACAUUCACCCCAUUCACACACACAUUCAUACAGCACUUGUUCUAUACAUUAGUGCUUUCUAACACAUACACACACAUACACAUACAUUCACACACCAUGCCAUCAGCAUUUGUGAUCUUCACACACAUAAACAGGUCUUACUGGGAAGAACCAGCACCGCCAACCAAAGAAUCGAAUCUUGGUGGAGUUCUUUGUUUGCAGACCUCAGAGAUAAUGGGUUUGACGGUGGGUUUCUGGACAAGGCCAUCCUUCAGUUUUGUUGCAUGGGACUCAUCCAAGAUGAGUUGGAUGACACUGCACAGGUUUGGAACCAUCAAAAAACAUCAAUGUCCCCAGCAGCCGGCCCAAUGUGAUGCAUACGUUGCCUCAACUCUAUGGGACCAGAGACUUCCUUUCCCCUGUUGAUGAUGAACAUGUGCAACUGUGCAAAGAUGAAUGUGUCUUUCGCCUGACAAAACCCUGUGCUCUAGAUGUGUAUGAACUGUGCCAUACCUUUAUGGCAGAGUCCCAUCUGACUCUACCAGCUGAUCCAUAUCAGGCUGUGAGCUUGUAUAUGCAUCUUAGACAGGCCAUCACUGAGUCUCUGUAAGUCAAAUGUCAAUCCAGAUCAUAACUCCUGCUAUUGAGCUCAUGACCUCUUGAUGGUCCUUCUGAGAGUGUGUGUGCGUUCCCCUCUGAGAGUGUGUGUGCGUCUAUGUGUGUGGUCUUAAGUAGAAAACUGCUAGAGAAAACUAAUGUAUCUUCUUCUGUCUGUGAUAAACAGCAGAUAAAUGUGUUUCCUUAUUUUGUAAUCUAUUAUAUGUUUUCAUCACACAAUUCUUUAUCCUGUGUGAAAUCCUGGCCUGCAACUCUGAA